CCUACGGGUGGCAGCAGUGAGGAAUAUUGGUCAAUGGACGCGAGCCUGAACCAGCCAAGUAGCGUGAAGGAUGACUGCCCUCUGGGUUGUAAACUUCUUUUAUAUGGGAAUAAAAUGUGCCAUGUGUGGGAUUUUGUAUGUACCAUAUGAAUAAGGAUCGGCUAACUCCGUGCCAGCAGCCGCGGUAAUACGGAGGAUCCGAGCGUUAUCCGGAUUUAUUGGGUUUAAGGGGAGCGUAGGUGGAUUGUUAAGUCAGUUGUGAAAGUUUGCGGCUCAACCGUAAAAUUGCAGUUGAAACUGGCAGUCUUGAGUACAGUAGAGGUAGGCGGAAUUCGUGGUGUAGCGGUGAAAUGCUUAGAUAGCACGAAGAACUCCGAUUGCGAAGGCAGCUCACUGGACUGCAACUGACACUGAGGCUCGAAAGUGUGGGUAUCAAACAGGAUUAGAUACCCCUGUAGUC
Molecule: ribosomal RNA, 460 nt
Filed under: uncultured bacterium
Lineage: Bacteria
Description: partial 16S ribosomal RNA
Rfam family: Bacterial small subunit ribosomal RNA
Source: RNAcentral